GGACUACUAGGGUUUCUAAUCCUGUUUGCUCCCCACGCUUUCGCGUCUCAGCGUCAGUACCGUCCCAGAGAGCCGCUUUCGCCACGGGUGUUCCUCCUGAUAUCUGCGCAUUUCACCGCUACACCAGGAAUUCCACUCUCCUCUUCCGGACUCUAGCCUUACGGUUUCCACCGGCGUCUCGAGGUUGAGCCUCGAGUUUUCACAACGGACCUGUAAAGCCGCCUACACGCUCUUUACGCCCAAUAAAUCCGGACAACGCUUGCCCCCUACGUAUUACCGCGGCGGCUGGCAC
RNAcentral lists this ribosomal RNA (292 nucleotides) under uncultured bacterium. RNAcentral describes it as "partial 16S ribosomal RNA". The record is from RNAcentral.